UACGGGGGGGGCAAGCGUUGUUCGGAAUUACUGGGCGUAAAGGGCUCGUAGGCGGCCAACUAAGUCAGACGUGAAAUCCCUCGGCUUAACCGGGGAACUGCCUCUGAUACUGGAUGGCUUGAGAUUGGGAGAGGGAUGCGGAAUUCCAGGUGUAGCGGUGAAAUUCGUAGAUAUUGGGAAGAACACCGGUGGCGAAGGCGGCUCUCUGGACCGUAACUGACGCUGAGGCGCGAAAGCGUGGGGAGCAAACAGG
RNAcentral lists this ribosomal RNA (253 nucleotides) under uncultured bacterium. RNAcentral describes it as "partial 16S ribosomal RNA". It matches the Rfam family "Bacterial small subunit ribosomal RNA", at positions 524 to 776 of the family's 1533-position model. The record is from RNAcentral.